RNAcentral lists this ribosomal RNA (391 nucleotides) under uncultured bacterium. Its description in RNAcentral is "partial 16S ribosomal RNA". It matches the Rfam family "Bacterial small subunit ribosomal RNA", at positions 523 to 917 of the family's 1533-position model. The record is from RNAcentral.
ACACGUAGGGGCCUGACGUUGUUCGGAAUCAUUGGGCGUAAAGGGCGCGCAGGCGGCCGUCCAAGUCCGGUGUUAAAUGGUCGGGCUCAACCCGAUCAUGCGCUGGAAACUGGGCGGCUGGAGUCCCGGAGGGGAUGCCGGAAUUCCAGGUGUAGGGGUGAAAUCUGUAGAUAUCUGGAAGAACACCGAUGGCGAAGGCAGGCAUCUGGCCGGAGACUGACGCUGAGGCGCGAAGGCGCGGGGAGCGAACAGGUUUAGAUACCCUGGUAGUCCGCGCAGUAAACGAUGCGCACCAGGUGUCGGGCGGCAGCGCCCGGUACCGGAGCAAACGCGAUGAGUGCGCCGCCUGGGGAGUAUGCCCGCAAGGGUGAAACUCAAAUGAAUUGGCGGG